GAUGAACGCUGGCGGCGUGCCUAAUACAUGCAAGUCGAGCGAACGGACGAGAAGCUUGCUUUUCUGAUGUUAGCGGCGGACGGGUGAGUAACACGUGGAUAACCUACCUAUAAGACUGGGAUAACCUCGGGAAACCGGAGCUAAUACCGGAUAAUAUUUUGAACCGCAUGGUUCAAAAGUGAAAGACGGUCUUGCUGUCACUUAUAGAUGGAUCCGCGCUGCAUUAGCUAGUUGGUAAGGUAACGGCUUACCAAGGCAACGAUGCAUAGCCGACCUGAGAGGGUGAUCGGCCACACUGGAACUGAGACACGGUCCAGACUCCUACGGGAGGCAGCAGUAGGGAAUCUUCCGCAAUGGGCGAAAGCCUGACGGAGCAACGCCGCGUGAGUGAAGAAGGUCUUCGGAUCGUAAAACUCUGUUAUUAGGGAAGAACAUAUGUGUAAGUAACUGUGCACAUCUUGACGGUACCUAAUCAGAAAGCCACGGCUAACUACGU
RNAcentral lists this ribosomal RNA (496 nucleotides) under uncultured bacterium. RNAcentral's name for it is "partial 16S ribosomal RNA". It matches the Rfam family "Bacterial small subunit ribosomal RNA", at positions 28 to 506 of the family's 1533-position model. The record is from RNAcentral.